RNAcentral lists this long non-coding RNA (1914 nucleotides) under Mustela putorius furo (domestic ferret). RNAcentral describes it as "lncRNA (ENSMPUG00000032022.1)". Lineage: Eukaryota; Metazoa; Chordata; Mammalia; Carnivora; Mustelidae. The record is from RNAcentral.
GUUGUUUCCCCCAGAGUGGGCUCCACCCUUGCUCUAACCGCACAGAGUGUGGAUAUCUCACUGUUUAAAACAAAGUUCAUUUUUAGGGCAGCAUUGCAUCAGAAUUGCCACACAAAAACCAGCUUAAGAAAUUACAGCAACUUCAAUUUUUUUUAAGAGUUGGGGAAGGCUGCAGCCCAAAGUUCUGUUCCAUGCCUUGUCUGUGCCUCUGUGUUCCUCCAGAGUUUGUGACGUGAGUGGUAAGUUGAACUGUGGGAGAAUUGAGUUAUUCAGUGAGGUCCACAUUCAGCAAUUUUUUCUUUGCAAAUGGAUCUUUUUUCCCCCCUCACAUAUUGGUUUUUUUUUUAAUAACUAUGUUUUAAAUGCCUGUGAAGUGUUUAGUUAUGCACUGACCAGAGUAGACAUGUUGAGAGAGAGGCUGUGCUCUGUGAUCUCUUCUGUACUAUUGUCUUCCUCUUGUGCAUGUUCAUCGUGUACCCUUGUGGAACAGACACACCCAUUCAGUAUAAGCAAGUUGAGCCACUUCAGUUGAAAUCAAAGCUGAAUGUUGAAAAUGGCAGAUUUUCAUAAAGCUGGCAGGAGUGACAGUGUGUCAUCCUUUUUGGACUUAGACUUGUGAGCAUUUCCUUGUUUAGCUUCCUCUUUGAAACUUGGUAAUAAUUGUGUUUAGCCGUUUUCAAACAUCACAAGGAUGUAAGAAUAAAGUGGAUGCUUAGUACUAUCAGAUAAAAGCACUAGCCUGGGAAUCAAGGCUAUUACGUUGGACACUGGUUUCUUUACUUGUAAACUUGGAAAUUUGGGUUAGCUGUUAGCUGUUAGAUCUUUUCCAGCUGAGAAUACCCAAAUUCUCUUUGUAAAGACACAUGCCUAUUCCAAAAAUGCUAAAGGGGAUGUAUUGAAAUUGAGGGGAAAAAAUAUUUAGAUGUUAACCAAGAAUCAUUCUUUUAAAGGACAUGAAAGCUAAAGCUUUACUUUAAAUAAACUGUGUAUAUCAGAAAUUUUAGAAGUUUACUCCUUGAUUCUGUUCUGAAAAGAGUUCACUAAUCAUCACCUCAACAAGAAAAUAAAUUUUCAAGUUGUGUUUUGCAUCCCUACCCAAUAUAUAAACCACAUACAUGCCACUUAAUUUCUGAAAUAAGUUUCCCUUAUGGCACAGAAAAUACUCUGUUUUGGGUUCUUUUCCAUUUUUAAAAUGUUGGUUUCAAUCUACUGAGCUAGAUGAUUUCUGCUGUCUUCUUUGAACUGUAGGAGAGUACACUUACUCUUAGAUGUUUUUAUAGUUGCUCCAGAGAAAAACUUGCCAACCACUUUGUUGUUAAAUACUGAAAUCAGGAAAUUUUCUAAAUAGAUUUUAUUUGGAACUUUAUAGAAUGUUAGUAGUUCAUACCUCCAGUAAUACUCUUAUUUAAAAAAAAAAAAAUCACUAAAAAAUCUGAGGCGCCUGGGUGGCUUGCUCAGUUAAGUGUCUCUUGAUUUCAGCUCAGGUCUUGAUCUCAAGGUUGUGAGAUCGAGCCCUCAUGUCAGGCUCACAUGCUGGGCGUGGAGCCUGCUAAAGAAUUUCUCCCUCUCCCUCUGCCACCCCUCUCUAAAAUAAGUAAACAAAUAAACAAACUGAUUUUUUUCUUUUAAUAAUUAUAUAAGGAAAGAGGAGUGAAUUUUUUUUCACCAAGCUCUAUAUAGCUGCCUUCAAAUUUUAUUCCAGUAUACAAGAUGUACGACAAAAUGUCCCUUUCCAAUCCUAAUCCCUGAGCCUCAAUCCCUAGGGGGCAGUUUCUUCUCUGUUUUUCAAAAAAAUAUCUAUGAAUGAGUGCACCAUUUUUUUUUAAACCAAAUUAAAUUAUACUGUGCACACUGUUGUGUAUCUACCCCAUUCUUCUUCUUCUUUUUUAAAUUAUUUAUUUAUUUAUUUGACAG